UGCCCCAUGGCUGAGUUGGUUACAGCGUCCGACUGUUAGCUUGUUCAGAGUAAGAGCCUGCAAUUCCUGCUGGGUUGAGUCUGACAUUCGGUCAUCGGAAGGUCGUGAGUUCGAGCCUCACUGGGGCAG
Non-coding RNA from Crassisporium funariophilum, 129 nucleotides. The record is from the annotation of a GenBank genome assembly. Lineage: Eukaryota; Fungi; Basidiomycota; Agaricomycetes; Agaricales; Crassisporiaceae.